This 341-nucleotide ribosomal RNA is filed under the name uncultured bacterium. RNAcentral describes it as "bacterial SSU rRNA". It matches the Rfam family "Bacterial small subunit ribosomal RNA", at positions 41 to 366 of the family's 1533-position model. The record is from RNAcentral.
GGCCGCGGGAAUUCGAGUCAGGCCUAACACAUCGCAAGUCGAACGGCAGCGCGGGGGCAACCCUGGUGAAAAGAGGCGAACGGGUGAGUAAUAUAUCGGAGCGUACCCAGUAGUGGGGGAUAACUAUCCGUAAGGAUAGCUAAUACCGCAUACGAUCUGUGGAUGAAAGCAGGGGAUCUUCGGACCUUGUGCUAUUGGAAUGGCCGAUAUCUGAUUAGCUAGUUGGUAGGGUAAAAGCCUACCAAGGCGACGACCAGUAGCUGGUCUGAGAGGACGACCAGCCACCCUGGUUGGGGAGACACGGUCCAGACUCCUCCGGGAGGCAGCAGUGGGGAAUUUUG